GAUGAACGCUGGCGGUAUGCUUAACACAUGCAAGUCGAACGCAGACUUUCGGGUCUGAGUGGCGGACGGGUGAGUAACGCGUGAGAAACCGGCUUCAGGACGGGGACAACAACGGGAAAUGGUGGCUAAUACCCAAUGUGCCGAUCAGGUGAAAGAUUGAUGGUCUGAAUAUGAGCUCGCGUCUGACUAGCUAGUGGGGGGGGUACGAGCACACCAAGGCGAUGAUCAGUAUCUGGUCUGAGAGGACGAUCAGCCACACUGAGACUGAGACAGGGCCCAGACUUCUGGGGGGGAGAAGUGUGGAAAAUUUUACGAUGGGGGCGAGACCGAGGCAGAGCAGCCCCGUGCGGGAGAACAGGGCUCUGUGGGUAUACAGCUUUUUCCUCAGAGGAAGAGGCAGUGACGGUACCUGAGAAAGCAGCAUCGGCUAACUCCGUG
RNAcentral lists this ribosomal RNA (438 nucleotides) under uncultured bacterium. RNAcentral's name for it is "partial 16S ribosomal RNA". It matches the Rfam family "Bacterial small subunit ribosomal RNA", at positions 28 to 507 of the family's 1533-position model. The record is from RNAcentral.